RNAcentral lists this ribosomal RNA (255 nucleotides) under uncultured prokaryote. Its description in RNAcentral is "partial 16S ribosomal RNA". It matches the Rfam family "Bacterial small subunit ribosomal RNA", at positions 523 to 777 of the family's 1533-position model. The record is from RNAcentral.
AUACGUAGGGAGCAAGCGUUGUCCGGAAUCAUUGGGCGUAAAGGGCGCGUAGGUGGCGCAGCAAGCGUGCGGUGAAAGCUCGGGGCUCAACCCCGAGUCGGCCGUGCGAACUGCUGGGCUCGAGCACUGUAGAGGCAGGCGGAAUUCCGGGUGUAGCGGUGGAAUGCGUAGAGAUCCGGAAGAACACCGGUGGCGAAGGCGGCCUGCUGGGCAGUAGCUGACGCUGAGGCGCGACAGCGUGGGGAGCAAACAGGA